Molecule: non-coding RNA, 69 nt
Organism: Podarcis lilfordi (Lilford's wall lizard)
Lineage: Eukaryota; Metazoa; Chordata; Lepidosauria; Squamata; Lacertidae
Source: the annotation of a GenBank genome assembly
GCCGUGGCUCAGUGGUAGAGCAUCUGCUUUGCAUGCGGAAGAUCCUGUGUUCCUUUCCUAGCAUCUCCA